This 374-nucleotide unclassified non-coding RNA is filed under the name Hevea brasiliensis (rubber tree). The record is from RNAcentral. Lineage: Eukaryota; Viridiplantae; Streptophyta; Magnoliopsida; Malpighiales; Euphorbiaceae.
AUAGUGACUGCAAAAGAUAUAAUUAUAGCUACUGGUUCUGUUCCUUUUGUCCCCAAGGGUGUUGAAGUUGAUGGGAAGACUGUAAUUACAAGUGACCAUGCACUCAAACUGGAGUUUGUUCCUGAUUGGAUUGUAAUUGUAGGAAGUGGUUAUAUUGGUCUAGAAUUCAGUGAUGUAUAUACUGCACUUGGAAGUGAGGUCACCUUUGUUGAAGCUCUAGAUCAGCUUAUGCCUGGAUUUGAUCCUGAGAUUGGGAAGUUGGCUCAAAGAGUACUCAUAAAUCCAAGGAAAAUUGACUAUCAUACUGGAGUAUUUGCAAGCAAGAUCACUUCAGCAAAGGAAGGGAAACCUGUCACUAUUGAGCUUAUUGAUGC